Molecule: ribosomal RNA, 440 nt
Filed under: uncultured bacterium
Lineage: Bacteria
Description: partial 16S ribosomal RNA
Rfam family: Bacterial small subunit ribosomal RNA
Source: RNAcentral
CCUACGUGAGUCAGCAGUGGGGAAUAUUGCACAAUGGGGGAAACCCUGAUGCAGCGACGCCGCGUGAGUGAAGUAGUAAUUCGUUAUGUAAAGCUCUAUCAGCAGGGAAGAAAAUGACGGUACCUGAGUAAGAAGCCCCGGCUAACUCAGUGCCAGCAGCCGCGGUAAUACGUAGGGGGCAAGCAUUAUCCGGAUGUACUGGGUGUAAAGGGAUCGUAGACGGCAAUGCAAGUCUGGAGUGAAAGGCGGGGGCUCAACCCCCGGACGGCUCUGGAAACUGUACGGCGGGAGUGCAGGAGAGGUAAGUGGAAUUCCAAGUGUAGCGGUGAAAUGCGUAGAUAUUAGGAGGAACACCAGUGGCGAAGGCGGCUUACUGGAAUGUAACUGACGUUGAGGCUCGAAAGCGUGGGGAGCAAACAGGAGUAGAUACCCCAGUAGUC